ACGAGUUAGGGUCUUUAGGCCCGAUCUCCAACCCAAUGUUUAAAUACCAUGUUGCUUUGGCGGGCCCGCCUUUAACUAGGCCGUCGGGGGUUUCGGCCCCGGGCCAGCGCCCGCCAACAGCCCACAUCAAAAUCUUCUAACCAUGUAAAAAUCUGAACCAAAAAAAUAAAUUAA
Molecule: unclassified non-coding RNA, 174 nt
Filed under: uncultured Herpotrichiellaceae
Lineage: Eukaryota; Fungi; Ascomycota; Eurotiomycetes; Chaetothyriales; Herpotrichiellaceae
Description: sequence contains ITS1
Source: RNAcentral